AGAGUUUGAUCCUGGCUCAGGACGAACGCUGGCGGCGUGCUUAACACAUGCAAGUCGAACGAUGAAAUCACUUCGGUGGUGGAUUAGUGGCGAACGGGUGAGUAACACGUGGGCAAUCUGCCCUUCACUCUGGGACAAGCCCUGGAAACGGGGUCUAAUACCGGAUAACACUCUGUCCCGCAUGGGACGGGGUUGAAAGCUCCGGCGGUGAAGGAUGAGCCCGCGGCCUAUCAGCUUGUUGGUGGGGUAAUGGCCUACCAAGGCGACGACGGGUAGCCGGCCUGAGAGGGCGACCGGCCACACUGGGACUGAGACACGGCCCAGACUCCUACGGGAGGCAGCAGUGGGGAAUAUUGCACAAUGGGCGAAAGCCUGAUGCAGCGACGCCGCGUGAGGGAUGACGGCCUUCGGGUUGUAAACCUCUUUCAGCAGGGAAGAAGCGAAAGUGACGGUACCUGCAGAAGAAGCGCCGGCUAACUACGUGCCAGCAGCCGCGGUAAUACGUAGGGCGCAAGCGUUGUCCGGAAUUAUUGGGCGUAAAGAGCUCGUAGGCGGCUUGUCACGUCGGAUGUGAAAGCCCGGGGCUUAACCCCGGGUCUGCAUUCGAUACGGGCUAGCUAGAGUGUGGUAGGGGAGAUCGGAAUUCCUGGUGUAGCGGUGAAAUGCGCAGAUAUCAGGAGGAACACCGGUGGCGAAGGCGGAUCUCUGGGCCAUUACUGACGCUGAGGAGCGAAAGCGUGGGGAGCGAACAGGAUUAGAUACCCUGGUAGUCCACGCCGUAAACGUUGGGAACUAGGUGUU
This 801-nucleotide ribosomal RNA is filed under the name Vibrio vulnificus NBRC 15645 = ATCC 27562. RNAcentral describes it as "bacterial SSU rRNA". It matches the Rfam family "Bacterial small subunit ribosomal RNA", at positions 8 to 824 of the family's 1533-position model. Lineage: Bacteria; Pseudomonadati; Pseudomonadota; Gammaproteobacteria; Vibrionales; Vibrionaceae. The record is from RNAcentral.